CGAAAAUCUGCAAUUGAAAGUUAAAAGAAUUUCUUUGUUAAAUAAAAUUAAAAUUGAGAGAUUUUAUUUUAACAAAUAAAAUUGAGUAUUUAAAAUGAAAUAAUCACCUAAAUUGAGGGACAAAUUGAUGCCUACGAUAAGAAAAUUUUUACAUUUUCGGGGGCUUCAUAGUUUUUUAAUUUUUUUCAAGUUACUGUUAUUGCCCUGAGGGGAAGGGAGGGAAUGGGAAAAUGACAUGUGGGGCCCACUUGGUGAGAAACAAAUUUGUGGGGCUCUUGUGAUCUUAUCCCCAUUUUCCCUUGUCUCGAUUUUCCUCGAGUCUCCCAAACAGAGAGGCUCCAUUAAAUGCCAUGUGAACCUGCACCAUGUCUUGCCUAAGAUUAGGAGCAUGAGCAUGUGCUGCUGACCUAACGACACUGUCUGUUUCUUCCUCACAUGGCUCAGCCUAUCAGAAAACAACCUAUAAAACAAAACUUCAGUCCAGAGAUUAUCAAAGCCACCAUGGAAACCGAGAGUUCAGAGACCAGGAACCAAGCGAGACUAGCCAUUCUCGAGCUAGCCAACAUGAUAAGCGUUCCCAUGUCUCUCCAUGCCGUCGUCCGCCUCAACGUCGCCGACGCUAUCUGGCAAGGCGGAACUAACUUGCCGCUUUCUGCCUCAGAAAUACUCGCAGCAGUCCAUCCCUCUGGCGGCGAUCCCGAGAAUCUUCAACGCAUCUUGCGUAUGCUUACCAGCUAUGGCGUGUUUGCGGAGCAUCUUAGUGCCGAUGCUACUGAGAGGAGGUACUCUCUGACGGAGAUCGGAAAAACGCUUGUCACCGACGGUGAGGGCCUUUCCUACGCUUCCUACGUGCUUCAGCACCACCAGGAUGCAUUGAUGAGGGCAUGGCCAUUAGUGCACGAGGCAGUACUGGACCCCACAACAGAGCCAUUCGUUAAGGCAAAUGACGAGCCCGCCUACAGCUACUACGGGAAACAGCCAGAAAUGAAUGAUUUAAUGCUGAAGGCCAUGUCAGGUGUAGCUGUGCCGUUCAUGAAAGCCGUCUUGAACGGCUAUGAUGGAUUUCAAGGGUUGGAGAGAUUAGUUGAUGUAGGUGGGAGUGCAGGGGAUUGCCUUAAGAUGAUCCUGCACAAAUAUCCUAGCAUUCUUCAAGGGAUAAACUUUGAUUUGCCUGAAGUAGUUGCCAAGGCACCAAAGAUUCCAGGUGUUAUCCAUGUUGGUGGUGACAUGUUCAAAUCGAUUCCUUCAGCUGAUGGUAUCUUUAUGAAGUGGAUAUUGACGACAUGGACAGAUGAUGAAUGCAAGUUGAUAAUGGAAAAUUGUUACAAGGCACUUCCUGUAGGAGGGAAACUAAUAGCUUGUGAGCCAGUGUUGCCAAAGGAUUCCGAUGACAGCCAUAGGACAAGAGCUCUCUUGGAAGGUGACAUAUUUGUCAUGACAAUUUAUAGAGCUAAGGGCAAGCACAGGACAGAAGAAGAAUUCAAGCAAUUGGGUCAGUCGGUUGGUUUCUCUAGUUUCCAAGCAUUUUAUAUUGAUUACUUCUAUACUGUUUUGGAGUUUCAAAAAUAAUUAAUGGCUUGCCUUAAUUAGGACAUAUAAUUAUUAAACUACAAAUCUCUCUAUUCAAUAUCCUAAUUGUUUAAUGCAUGGCACCUUGAACUGCAUAAUUUUCAAUUUUAACUCAAUCUUGGAUUGCCAAAUUAAUAUGGUUUAUUGUUUUAUUUUAAGUAUUUGCAUUUUUUUUACAUACUCACAUGUAUAAAAUAAAUAAAAGAAAAUAUAAAACACAUAAAUCAAUCAAUCAAAUUUAAUUAAAUUACAUAUCUAGUUGUAAGAAUGCUUCGUAAUCUAAUUAGUGACAUACAUAAGAGAAUCUCAAUAACUAAAGAAAUCAAUGUUGACACUGAGAGUUUAUACUCUUCUCUCAUAAAACACAUGAAACUCAACCUUCUAAAUUUAAGGAAGAAACUAUUUUUUUAUUUCUAUAAGGAACAUUAUUUUUAAUAUUCUCGAUAUAUUUUGGAAUUUUUUGAAUAAUUUUAUGCACUAGAAGACUAUAGGCCUUAGAGACACUGCCCAUUUCCCAGUGGCCAAAACAAUAUACAUUUUUUAUUUUAUAUAUAAAUCUCAUUAUAUAUUAUAUAUUUUAAAUUUAUAAUAAAUUAAAUUUAAAUAAA
RNAcentral lists this unclassified non-coding RNA (2177 nucleotides) under Hevea brasiliensis (rubber tree). Lineage: Eukaryota; Viridiplantae; Streptophyta; Magnoliopsida; Malpighiales; Euphorbiaceae. The record is from RNAcentral.